GAUAAACGCUGGCGGCGUGCUUAACACAUGCAAGUCGAACGGAGUACUUCUCCCGAGACCGAGGAAGCUUGCUUCCAAAGAAUCAUUUGAAGUACUUAGUGGCGGACGGGUGAGUAACGCGUGGGUAACCUGCCUCACACAGGGGGAUAACAGUUGGAAACGACUGUUAAUACCGCAUAAGCGCACAGUAUCGCAUGAUACAGUGUGAAAAACUCCGGUGGUGUGAGAUGGACCCGCGUCUGAUUAGCUAGUUGGUGAGGUAACGGCCCACCAAGGCGACGAUCAGUAGCCGGCCUGAGAGGGUGUACGGCCACAUUGGGACUGAGACACGGCCCAAACUCCUACGGGAGGCAGCAGUGGGGAAUAUUGCACAAUGGGGGAAACCCUGAUGCAGCGACGCCGCGUGAGUGAUGAAGUAUUUCGGUAUGUAAAGCUCUAUCAGCAGGGAAGAUAA
This 454-nucleotide ribosomal RNA is filed under the name bacterium MA4004. RNAcentral's name for it is "bacterial SSU rRNA". It matches the Rfam family "Bacterial small subunit ribosomal RNA", at positions 28 to 451 of the family's 1533-position model. The record is from RNAcentral.